UAGGGAAGUCUUCCACAAUGGGCGGAAAGCCUGAUGGAGCAACGCCGCGUGUGUGAUGAAGGGUUUCGGCUCGUAAAACACUGUUGUAAGAGAAGAAUGACAUUGAGAGUAACUGUUCAAUGUGUGACGGUAUCUUACCAGAAAGGAACGGCUAAAUACGUGUCAG
Molecule: ribosomal RNA, 166 nt
Filed under: uncultured bacterium
Lineage: Bacteria
Description: partial 16S ribosomal RNA
Rfam family: Bacterial small subunit ribosomal RNA
Source: RNAcentral